Molecule: ribosomal RNA, 272 nt
Filed under: uncultured bacterium
Lineage: Bacteria
Description: partial 16S ribosomal RNA
Rfam family: Bacterial small subunit ribosomal RNA
Source: RNAcentral
CGUGUUACAAUGGGUGAUACAGAGGGCCGGCCGCUGGCAACAUCGGUCCAAUCCUUAAAGUCAUCCUCAGUUCGGACUGGGGUCUGNAACCCGACCCCACGAAGCUGGAUUCGCUAGUAAUCGCGCAUCAGCCAUGGCGCGGUGAAUACGUUCCCGGGCCUUGUACACACCGCCCGUCAAGCCAUGAAAGCCGGGGGGCGCCUGAAGUCCGUGACCGCGAGGGUCGGCCUAGGGUGAAACCGGUGAUUGGGGCUAAGUCGUAACAAGGUAUC